UACGAAGGGGGCUAGCGUUGCUCGGAAUCACUGGGCGUAAAGGGUGCGUAGGCGGGGCUUUAAAUCAGGGGUGAAAUCCUGGAGCUCAACUCCAGAACUGCCUUUGAUACUGAGGAUCUUGAGUUCGGGAGAGGUGAGUGGAACUGCGAGUGUAGAGGUGAAAUUCGUAGAUAUUCGCAAGAACACCAGUGGCGAAGGCGGCUCACUGGCCCGAUACUGACGCUGAGGCACGAAAGCGUGGGGAGCAAACAGG
This 253-nucleotide ribosomal RNA is filed under the name uncultured bacterium. RNAcentral describes it as "partial 16S ribosomal RNA". It matches the Rfam family "Bacterial small subunit ribosomal RNA", at positions 524 to 776 of the family's 1533-position model. The record is from RNAcentral.